Molecule: ribosomal RNA, 441 nt
Filed under: uncultured bacterium
Lineage: Bacteria
Description: bacterial SSU rRNA
Rfam family: Bacterial small subunit ribosomal RNA
Source: RNAcentral
AACGCGAAGAACCUUACCCAGGCUUGACAUGCAUAGGAAGUUAUUAGAGAUAGUAACGCCCUUCGGGCCUAUGCACAGGUGCUGCAUGGCUGUCGUCAGCUCGUGCCGUGAGGUGUUGGGUUAAGUCCCGCAACGAGCGCAACCCUUAUCGUUAGUUGCCAACAGGUAAUGCUGGGAACUCUAGCGAGACUGCCUGGGUUAACCAGGAGGAAGGUGAGGAUGACGUCAAGUCCGCAUGGCCCUUAUGUCUGGGGCUACACACGUGCUACAAUGGUCGGUACAGAAGGCAGCGAAACCGCGAGGUGAAGCAAAUCCCAAAAAACCGGCCCCAGUUCAGAUUGUAGUCUGCAACUCGACUACAUGAAGACGGAAUUGCUAGUAAUGGCAGGUCAGCAACACUGCCGUGAAUACGUUCCCGGGCCUUGUACACACCGAGACGUA